UGCUGGCCCACGCCCAGCCUAACCAAUGUGCAGACUACUGUACAUAUCACAGCCUGCUGAACAGCUAGUCUGAACACUGGGAUGGCGGGGGUGGUGGUUCA
RNAcentral lists this microRNA precursor (101 nucleotides) under Cricetulus griseus (Chinese hamster). RNAcentral describes it as "mir-199". Lineage: Eukaryota; Metazoa; Chordata; Mammalia; Rodentia; Cricetidae. The record is from RNAcentral.